UGUAGCUCAAUUGGUAGAGUGCUUGCCUAGCAUGCAUGAGGCUCUGAGUUCAAACCCCAGCA
This 62-nucleotide transfer RNA is filed under the name Neotoma lepida (desert woodrat). It matches the Rfam family "tRNA", at positions 6 to 65 of the family's 71-position model. From Rfam's summary of the family: Transfer RNA (tRNA) molecules are approximately 80 nucleotides in length. Their secondary structure includes four short double-helical elements and three loops (D, anti-codon, and T loops). Further hydrogen bonds mediate the characteristic L-shaped molecular structure. tRNAs have two regions of fundamental functional importance: the anti-codon, which is responsible for specific mRNA codon recognition, and the 3' end, to which the tRNAs corresponding amino acid is attached (by aminoacyl-tRNA synthetases). tRNAs cope with the degeneracy of the genetic code in two manners: having more than one tRNA (with a specific anti-codon) for a particular amino acid; and 'wobble' base-pairing, i.e. permitting non-standard base-pairing at the 3rd anti-codon position. The record is from Rfam by way of RNAcentral. Lineage: Eukaryota; Metazoa; Chordata; Mammalia; Rodentia; Cricetidae.